GAUGAACGCUGGCGGCGUGCUUAACACAUGCAAGUCGAGCGAAGCGCUUUGAAGUUUUCGGACGGAGAAGUGACUGAGCGGCGGACGGGUGAGUAACACGUAGGUAACCUGCCCAUGUGCCCGGGAUAACUUCUGGAAACGGAUGCUAAAACCGGAUAGGUAGCAGACAAGCAUUUGACUGCUAUUAAAGUGGCCUUGGCCAUGAACAUGGAUGGACCUGCGGUGCAUUAGCUGGUUGGUGAGGUAACGGCCCACCAAGGCGACGAUGCAUAGCCGGCCUGAGAGGGCGGACGGCCACAUUGGGACUGAGACACGGGCCCAAACUCCUACGGGAGGCAGCAGUAGGGAAUUUUUCGUCAAUGGGGGGAACCCUGAACGAGCAAUGCCGCGUGAGUGAGGAAGGUCUUCGGGAUCGUAAAGCUCUGUUGUAAGAGAAAAACGGCACU
RNAcentral lists this ribosomal RNA (446 nucleotides) under uncultured bacterium. RNAcentral describes it as "bacterial SSU rRNA". It matches the Rfam family "Bacterial small subunit ribosomal RNA", at positions 28 to 456 of the family's 1533-position model. The record is from RNAcentral.